GGGCCGUUAGCUCAAUUGGUAGAGCGGCAGACUCUUAAUCUGUAGGUUGGAGGUUCGAUUCCUCCACGGCUCACCA
RNAcentral lists this transfer RNA (76 nucleotides) under Candidatus Omnitrophota bacterium. RNAcentral describes it as "tRNA-Lys". It matches the Rfam family "tRNA". From Rfam's summary of the family: Transfer RNA (tRNA) molecules are approximately 80 nucleotides in length. Their secondary structure includes four short double-helical elements and three loops (D, anti-codon, and T loops). Further hydrogen bonds mediate the characteristic L-shaped molecular structure. tRNAs have two regions of fundamental functional importance: the anti-codon, which is responsible for specific mRNA codon recognition, and the 3' end, to which the tRNAs corresponding amino acid is attached (by aminoacyl-tRNA synthetases). tRNAs cope with the degeneracy of the genetic code in two manners: having more than one tRNA (with a specific anti-codon) for a particular amino acid; and 'wobble' base-pairing, i.e. permitting non-standard base-pairing at the 3rd anti-codon position. The record is from RNAcentral. Lineage: Bacteria; Pseudomonadati; Candidatus Omnitrophota.